GCGAGCUCGGUGGCAGGAGUGGCGGGAUUACGGGGGGUGCGAGCGUUGUCCGGAAGUAGUGGGCGUAAAGGGCUUGUGGGCGGUUUGUAGCGUCUGCUGUGAAAAUCCGGGGCUCAACCCCGGACUGGCAGUGGGUACGGGCAGACUAGAGUAUGGUAGGGGAGACUGGAAUUCCUGGUGUAGCGGUGAAAUGCGCAGAUAUCAGGAGGAACACCGAUGGCGAAGGCAGGUCUCUGGGCCACUACUGACGCUGAGAAGCGAAAGCAUGGGGAGCGAACAGGAUUAGAUACCCCAGUAGUC
This 300-nucleotide ribosomal RNA is filed under the name uncultured Lactobacillus sp. RNAcentral's name for it is "bacterial SSU rRNA". It matches the Rfam family "Bacterial small subunit ribosomal RNA", at positions 496 to 795 of the family's 1533-position model. The record is from RNAcentral. Lineage: Bacteria; Bacillati; Bacillota; Bacilli; Lactobacillales; Lactobacillaceae.